UACGGGGGGGGCAAGCGUUGUUCGGAAUUACUGGGCGUAAAGGGCGCGUAGGCGGUUUGCUAAGUUGGAUGUGAAAACUCUGGGCUUAACCCAGAGCCUGCAUCCAAAACUGGCAAACUUGAGUACUGGAGGGGAAAGCGGAAUUCCUGGUGUAGCGGUGAAAUGCGUAGAUAUCGGGAGGAACACCAGUGGCGAAGGCGGCUUCCUGGCCUGUUCUUGACGCUGAGGCGCGAAAGCUAGGGGAGCAAACGGG
RNAcentral lists this ribosomal RNA (253 nucleotides) under uncultured bacterium. RNAcentral's name for it is "partial 16S ribosomal RNA". It matches the Rfam family "Bacterial small subunit ribosomal RNA", at positions 524 to 776 of the family's 1533-position model. The record is from RNAcentral.